Molecule: long non-coding RNA, 760 nt
Organism: Orcinus orca (killer whale)
Lineage: Eukaryota; Metazoa; Chordata; Mammalia; Artiodactyla; Delphinidae
Exons: 3
Source: RefSeq, a predicted model, not a curated record
GUCUCUUGAAUUUAUUCUCACUUUUCCAUUCCCAUAGCCUGGGUACAGAGUGUCACCAUCCUUUGCUUGAUUUCAUCAAACAAGCCUUCUGACACGUCUCCCAUCCUCUAACUUUCUCCUGGCUUCAGUCCAUCUUCUCCAGGAUGACCCAGGGGCCAUCCUGAGGACGGUGUGAUGUUGUUGGCUGGAAAGCUGAGGCAGAUCCUGCAGAGCCAUCACCUUCAUGACAAGUACCUGGCAUGGUCUCCUAGAAACACAGAAACAUCCUGACCAGGCCCACCUGUGAAUAACUGCAGGAUGGAAGAAAGUAACACAUCCCCUCCAGAGUCUGCCCGGAGCCAGGACCUUACCCUCUCCCUUUUGGUAUAAAAGAAGCUUGAAUUCUAACUCGGGAAGAUGGUUCUAUAGGACAUUCGUUUGCCAUCUUCUCGGUCUGCUGGCUUUCCAGAUAAAAUGGCUAUUCCUCGCCCCAACACCUCAUUUCCUGAUUGAUUAACCUGUCGUGUGGCAAGCAGUAUGAACUUAGACUUGGUAACGAAUUUUGGUGAAGCCAGCCAGGAGCCUUGCUGCUGCGGCCAGUCUGCCCUGAUUGGGUUCCAGUAAGGCCCUAGCAGCUACUGGGACCUCUUGUCCUGAGGAUCUUCCCUUCAAAAUUACCCGAAGCGGCACCGGCUGCCCCAGCACUUGGCAAUUGGAGCAAGGAAUGGACAUCUGGGAGCUGACAGGUUCCAUACAGUAGGGUAAGUCGCUCCAGGGUGUA